AGAGCGCAAGGGGAAUGCCUUGGCAUCAGGAGCCGACGAAGGACGUGACAAGCUGCGAUAAGCCACGGGGAGGAGCAAAUAUCCGUUAUAUCCGUGGAUCUCCGAAUGGGGGAACCCGCUCAAGCAAUACUUGAGCAUCGUGCGUUGAAUCAAAUAGGCGUACGAAGGGAACGGCCUGAACUGAAACAUCUAAGUAGGGCCAGGAAAAGACAUCAACCGAGAUUCCGCUAGUAGUGGCGAGCGAACGCGGAGGAGGCCAAACCAGAGGUCAUAGAUCUCUGGGGUAAGGACAGUCAUUUAGAAAGGGAAGCUAGCCGAACGGCAUGGGAAGGCCGUCCACAGAGGGUGAGAGACCCGUAGGCGAAAGCGGAACGGACGAGACUGUAUCCAGAGUACCGCCGGACACGUGAAACCCGGUGGGAACAAGGGAGGACCACCUUCCAAGCCUAAAUACUACCUGAUGACCGAUAGUGGAGCAGUACCGUGAGGGAAAGGUGAAAAGUACCCCGAGAGGGGAGUGAAAGAGAACCUGAAACCUUGUGCUUACAAGCACUCAGAGCGCGUUAAAGCGUGAUGAGGUACCUUUUGUAGAAUGGUCCGGCGAGUUAUAGUAACGAGCAAGGUUAAGCUAUUCAGUAGCGGAGCCGAAGGGAAACCGAGUCUUAAUAGGGCGUUAAGUUCGUUGCCAUAGACCUGAAACCGGGUGACCUAUCCAUGUCCAGGCUGAAGAUCAGGUAAAACUGAUUGGAGGGCCGAACACACGUUCGUUGCAAUGACCGGUGAUGAGGUGUGGAUAGCGGAGAAAUUCCAAUCGAACCCGGAGAUAGCUGGUUCUCCCCGAAAUAGCUUUAGGGCUAGCGUCGAGAGAAGAGUUGCGUGAAGGUAGAGCACUGAAUAUGUGAUGGCCCCAUCUCGGGGUACUGAGCAUAAUCAAACUGCGAAUGUCACGCCAACAUGCUCGGCAGUCAGACAGCGGGUGAUAAGGUCCGUUGUCAAGAGGGAAACAGCCCAGACCAUCAGCUAAGGUCCCAAAAUGUAUGCUAAGUGGAAAAGGAUGUGGAGAUGUACAGACAACUAGGAGGUUGGCUCAGAAGCAGCCAUCCUUUAAAGAGUGCGUAACAGCUCACUAGUCGAGUGACCCUGCGCCGAAAAUGUACCGGGGCUAAGCCUGAUACCGAAACUGCGGAUUGUAGGAAACUAUAGUGGUAGGGGAGCGUUGUAUACGAGCAGAAGCCGUACCGUGAGGAGCGGUGGAUUGUAUAGAAGUGAGAAUGCCGGUGUGAGUAGCGAGAUGUAGGUGAGAAUCCUACACACCGAAAGCCCAAGGAUUCCAGGGGAAGGUUCGUCCGCCCUGGGUAAGUCGGGACCUAAGGCGAGGCCGAAAGGCGUAGUGGAUGGAAAGCAGGCGAAAGAUUCCUGCACCCGUAUAUGGAGCGAAGGAGUGACGGAGACGGAUAGUGUGACCCUCUUAAUGGAUUGAGGGCGAAGCGAAGCGGCUGGUUACCAGGCAAAUCCGGUAACCGAAAAGGCUAGAGCGUGACAGGUAAGCGAAAUCUUAGGAAAGUAGCGAAGCACAUGAUGACGGCUUCCAGGAAAAGCUUCUGGCAAUGCAUAUGCGGCCCGUACCAAAACCGACACAGGUGGGCAGGGAGAGAAUCCCGAGGUGAGCGAGAGAACUGUUGCCAAGGAACUCGGCAAAAUGACUCCGUAAGUUAGCGAGAAGGAGUGCUUAAGCAAUUAAGCCGCAGUGAAGAGGCCCAAGCGACUGUUUAACUAAAACACAGCUCUCUGCGAAGUCGCAAGACGAAGUAUAGGGGGUGACACCUGCCCGGUGCUGGAAGGUUAAGAGGAUCUGUUAAGAGCGAUCUGAAGCAGUGAUCCGAAGCCCCAGUGAACGGCGGCCGUAACUAUAACGGUCCUAAGGUAGCGAAAUUCCUUGUCAGGUAAGUUCUGACCCGCACGAAAGGUGUAACGAUUUGGGCGCUGUCUCGGCAGCAGACUCGGUGAAAUCUUAGUACCUGUGAAAAUGCAGGUUACCCGCAACUAGACGGAAAGACCCCAUGGAGCUUUACUGCAGCCUGAUAUUGAAUUCUGGUCAUACAUGUACAGGAUAGGUGGGAGACAAAGAGACGUGCACGCCAGUGUACGAGGAGUCGCCGUUGGGAUACCACUCUUGUGUGACCGGGGUUCUAACCUGGUAUCGAGAACAGGUACGGGGAGAGUGUCAGGUGGGCAGUUUGACUGGGGCGGUCGCCUCCCAAAGAGUAACGGAGGCGCCCAAAGGUACGCUCAGAUUGGAUGGAAACCAAUCGUCGAGUGCAAUUGCAGAAGCGUGCUUGACUGUGAGACAAACAAGUCGAACAGGGACGAAAGUCGGGAAUAGUGAUCCGGCGGUGCCGAAUGGAAGGGCCGUCGCUCAACGGAUAAAAGCUACCCUGGGGAUAACAGGCUGAUCUCGCCCAAGAGUUCACAUCGACGGCGAGGUUUGGCACCUCGAUGUCGGCUCAUCGCAUCCUGGAGCUGGAUUCGGUUCCAAGGGUUGGGCUGUCCGCCCAUUAAAGCGGUACGCGAGCUGGGUUCAGAACGUCGUGAGACAGUUCGGUC
This 2604-nucleotide ribosomal RNA is filed under the name human gut metagenome. Its description in RNAcentral is "bacterial LSU rRNA". It matches the Rfam family "Bacterial large subunit ribosomal RNA", at positions 14 to 2636 of the family's 2925-position model. The record is from RNAcentral.